CCCAGACUCCUACGGGAGGCAGCAGUGGGGGAUAUUGCACAAUGGGGGAAACCCUGAUGCGGCGACGCCGCGUGAAGGAAGAAGUAUUUCGGUAUGUAAACUUCUAUCAGCAGGGAAGAAAAUGACGGUACCUGACUAAGAAGCCCCGGCUAACUACGUGCCAGCAGCCGCGGUAAUACGUAGGGGGCAAGCGUUAUCCGGAUUUACUGGGUGUAAAGGGAGCGUAGGCGGUUUAGCAAGUCAGAAGUGAAAGCCCGGGGCUCAACUCCGGGACUGCUUUUGAAACUGUUGAACUAGGUUGCAGGAGAGGUAAGUGGAAUUCCUAGUGUAGCGGUGAAAUGCGUAGAUAUUAGGAGGAACACCAGUGGCGAAGGCGGCUUACUGGACUGUAAAUGACGCUGAGGCUCGAAAGCGUGGGGAGCAAACAGGAUUAGAUACCCCUGUA
RNAcentral lists this ribosomal RNA (445 nucleotides) under uncultured bacterium. Its description in RNAcentral is "bacterial SSU rRNA". It matches the Rfam family "Bacterial small subunit ribosomal RNA", at positions 330 to 792 of the family's 1533-position model. The record is from RNAcentral.